This 519-nucleotide ribosomal RNA is filed under the name uncultured eukaryote. RNAcentral's name for it is "SSU rRNA". It matches the Rfam family "Eukaryotic small subunit ribosomal RNA", at positions 1161 to 1699 of the family's 1831-position model. The record is from RNAcentral.
AGGGCACCACCAGGAGUGGAGCCUGCGGCUUAAUUUGACUCAACACGGGAAAACUCACCCGGCCCGGACACUGGAAGGAUUGACAGAUUGAGAGCUCUUUCUUGAUUCAGUGGGUGGUGGUGCAUGGCCGUUCUUAGUUGGUGGAGUGAUUUGUCUGGUUAAUUCCGAUAACGAACGAGACUCUAGCCUACUAAAUAGAUCGUCGGCUUACAAACGCCGGCGAGACUUCUUAGAGGGACAGGCGGUGAUUCAACCGCACGAAACAGAGCAAUAACAGGUCUGUGAUGCCCUUAGAUGUCCGGGGCCGCACGCGCGCUACACUGAAGUGAUCAGCGUGCUUUUUCAACCUACUCAGUCAAGAGUGGGGAACCCAAUGAACCUUCUUCGUGAUUGGGAUAGGGGAUUGUAAUUAUUCCCCUUGAACGAGGAAUUCCCAGUAAGCGCGAGUCAUAAGCUCGCGUUGAUUACGUCCCUGCCCUUUGUACACACCGCCCGUCGCUACUACCGAUUGAAUGUUUU